This 757-nucleotide ribosomal RNA is filed under the name Niallia circulans. RNAcentral's name for it is "bacterial SSU rRNA". It matches the Rfam family "Bacterial small subunit ribosomal RNA", at positions 20 to 762 of the family's 1533-position model. The record is from RNAcentral. Lineage: Bacteria; Bacillati; Bacillota; Bacilli; Caryophanales; Bacillaceae.
UGGCUCAGGACGAACGCUGGCGGCGUGCCUAAUACAUGCAAGUCGAGCGGACUUUAAAAGCUUGCUUUUAAAGUUAGCGGCGGACGGGUGAGUAACACGUGGGCAACCUGCCUGUAAGACUGGGAUAACUUCGGGAAACCGGAGCUAAUACCGGAUAAUCCUUUUCCUCUCAUGAGGAAAAGCUGAAAGACGGUUUACGCUGUCACUUACAGAUGGGCCCGCGGCGCAUUAGCUAGUUGGUGAGGUAACGGCUCACCAAGGCGACGAUGCGUAGCCGACCUGAGAGGGUGAUCGGCCACACUGGGACUGAGACACGGCCCAGACUCCUACGGGAGGCAGCAGUAGGGAAUCUUCCGCAAUGGACGAAAGUCUGACGGAGCAACGCCGCGUGAGUGAUGAAGGUUUUCGGAUCGUAAAACUCUGUUGUUAGGGAAGAACAAGUACAAGAGUAACUGCUUGUACCUUGACGGUACCUAACCAGAAAGCCACGGCUAACUACGUGCCAGCAGCCGCGGUAAUACGUAGGUGGCAAGCGUUGUCCGGAAUUAUUGGGCGUAAAGCGCGCGCAGGCGGUCCUUUAAGUCUGAUGUGAAAGCCCACGGCUCAACCGUGGAGGGUCAUUGGAAACUGGGGGACUUGAGUGCAGAAGAGAAGAGUGGAAUUCCACGUGUAGCGGUGAAAUGCGUAGAGAUGUGGAGGAACACCAGUGGCGAAGGCGACUCUUUGGUCUGUAACUGACGCUGAGGCGCGAAAGCGU